GAUGAACGCUGGCGGCGUGCCUAAUACAUGCAAGUCGAGCGAACAGACGAGGAGCUUGCUCCUCCGACGUUAGCGGCGGACGGGUGAGUAACACGUGGAUAACCUACCUAUCAGACUGGGAUAACUUCGGGAAACCGGAGCUAAUACCGGAUAAUAUAUUGAACCGCAUGGUUCAAUAGUGAAAGACGGCUUUGCUGUCACUUAUAGAUGGAUCCGCGCCGCAUUAGCUAGUUGGUAAGGUAACGGCUUACCAAGGCGACGAUGCGUAGCCGACCUGAGAGGGGGAUAGGCCACACUGGAACUGAGACACGGUCCAGAGGACUACGGGAGGCAGCAGUAGGGAAUCUUCCGCAGUGGGCGAAAGCCUGACGGAGCAACGCCGCGUGAGUGAUGAAGGUGUUCGGAUCGUAAAACUCGGUUAUUAGGGAAGAACAAAUGUGUAAGUAACUAUGCACGUCGUGACGGUACCUAAUCAGAAAGCCACGGCUAACUACGUG
This 497-nucleotide ribosomal RNA is filed under the name uncultured bacterium. RNAcentral describes it as "partial 16S ribosomal RNA". It matches the Rfam family "Bacterial small subunit ribosomal RNA", at positions 28 to 507 of the family's 1533-position model. The record is from RNAcentral.